RNAcentral lists this long non-coding RNA (437 nucleotides) under Citrus sinensis (sweet orange). RNAcentral describes it as "long non-coding RNA (CSIN_LNC001141)". The record is from RNAcentral. Lineage: Eukaryota; Viridiplantae; Streptophyta; Magnoliopsida; Sapindales; Rutaceae.
GUCAAACAACUGUAGCAACUCUGACACCAACACUCGGAGGCAAUGAUAUAGUGUUUUCCCCGUAUGGAGCUCAGUGGAGGAGACUAAGAAAAGCAAUGGUGGGUGAGAUGAUGACAAAUUCGAGCCUUGAUUCUUGUUCAGAUCUAAGGAAACAAGUGCUGAAGAAUACAAUUAGAGAUUUGUUUAAUAACAAGAUUGGCAAGCCUGUAGAUAUUGGUGAAGUGUCAGUUUCAACUUCACUCAAUGCACUUGAGAACAUGCUGUGGGGAGGUGGCACUGGCUCUGGGGGACAUAAUGAUCAUACUCUUGAGAUGAAACAAUUGCUUGAUGAUAUCAUGGAGCUGCAAGGAGUUCCGAAUAUUUCGGACAUCUUUCCAGUGCUUUCGAGGUUUGAUUUACAAGGAGUUGAAAGGAAGUGUAAGGAGAUAGCUUUGUGG